GGGGCUAUAGCUCAGUAGUAAAGUGCAUGCUUUGCGUGCACAAGGUCCUGGGUUCAAUCCCCAGUACCUCUG
Molecule: transfer RNA, 72 nt
Filed under: Camelus dromedarius (Arabian camel)
Lineage: Eukaryota; Metazoa; Chordata; Mammalia; Artiodactyla; Camelidae
Also listed under: 1 other name
Rfam family: tRNA
About the family: Transfer RNA (tRNA) molecules are approximately 80 nucleotides in length.
Source: Rfam by way of RNAcentral